Long non-coding RNA from Contarinia nasturtii (swede midge), 367 nucleotides. RefSeq lists it as uncharacterized. The transcript has 3 exons. The record is from RefSeq and is a predicted model, not a curated record. NCBI's taxonomy places the organism in Eukaryota, Metazoa, Arthropoda, Insecta, Diptera, Cecidomyiidae.
GAGCUGCAGUGCUUGUGUUAACAUCACAUUUUUAGCAAAGAUAUCAACUGAUCAACAAUCAUUUUUAAAAACCGAACUCUUAAAACGAUAAAAUGAAAUCAAGAAUCGCGAUAAUCUUUCUGAUUUUGGUAGCCAUCGUUUGCAUUAGCGAACAAAAUUCUAUCAAACCAAAAGCUAGUCCCAUGGACCCCUAUCUGAAUUGUUUGUUGGACAGAGGUGAAUGUAGCAAAGCUGCCUCGUUAGUCAAAGAAAAGCUGAUCAAUGCCAUCAAAACUGGGUGCAAACAAUGUACAAAAACGCAAAUUUCAACCACGACAAAAACGGUAAAUAUUUUGAGAGAAAAACGGCCAGCAGAAUAUAAAUCACU